RNAcentral lists this ribosomal RNA (468 nucleotides) under uncultured bacterium. RNAcentral describes it as "partial 16S ribosomal RNA". It matches the Rfam family "Bacterial small subunit ribosomal RNA", at positions 28 to 507 of the family's 1533-position model. The record is from RNAcentral.
GACGAGCGCUGGCGGCGUGCUUAACACAUGCAAGUCGAACGGAAAGGCCCGGCUUUUGUGGGGUGCUCGAGUGGCGAACGGGUGAGUAACACGUGAGUAACCUGCCCUUGACUUUGGGAUAACUUCAGGAAACUGGGGCUAAUACCGGAUAGGAGCUCCUGCUGCAUGGUGGGGGUUGGAAAGUUUCGGCGGUUGGGGAUGGACUCGCGGCUUAUCAGCUUGUUGGUGGGGUAGUGGCUUACCAAGGCUUUGACGGGUAGCCGGCCUGAGAGGGUGACCGGCCACAUUGGGACUGAGAUACGGCCCAGACUCCUACGGGAGGCAGCAGUGGGGAAUAUUGCACAAUGGGCGGAAGCCUGAUGCAGCAACGCCGCGUGCGGGAUGACGGCCUUCGGGUUGUAAACCGCUUUCGCCUGUGACGAAGCGUGAGUGACGGUAAUGGGUAAAGAAGCACCGGCUAACUACGUG